Molecule: transfer RNA, 87 nt
Filed under: Actinomycetota bacterium
Lineage: Bacteria; Bacillati; Actinomycetota
Description: tRNA-Leu
Rfam family: tRNA
About the family: Transfer RNA (tRNA) molecules are approximately 80 nucleotides in length.
Source: RNAcentral
GCCGGGGUGGCGGAACCGGCAGACGCGCCCGGCUUAAACCCGGGUGCCCCCGAAAGGGGCGUGAGGGUUCGACCCCCUCCCCCGGCA